RNAcentral lists this ribosomal RNA (494 nucleotides) under uncultured bacterium. Its description in RNAcentral is "bacterial SSU rRNA". It matches the Rfam family "Bacterial small subunit ribosomal RNA", at positions 32 to 518 of the family's 1533-position model. The record is from RNAcentral.
AAUCAACGCUGGCGGCGUGCCUAACACAUGCAAGUCGAACGAGAAAGUGGGGGCAACUCCAUGAGUAAAGUGGCAGACGGGUGAGUAACACGUGAACAACCUACCCUCGAGUGUGGAAUAACACCGCGAAAGCGGUGCUAAUACCGCAUAACAUCUUCGGGUCGCAUGAUCUGAAGAUCAAAAGCGCAAGUUGCUUGAGGAGGGGUUCGCGCCUGAUUAGCUAGUUGGUGAGGUAACGGCCCACCCAAGGCAACGAUCAGUAGCCGGCCUGAGAGGGCGAACGGCCACACUGGAACUGAGACACGGUCCAGACUCCUACGGGAGGCAGCAGUGGGGAAGUUUUGCGCAAUGGGCGAAAGCCUGACGCAGCAACGCCGCGUGGAGGGAUGAAGGUCUUCGGAUCGUAAACUCCUGUCAGUGGGGACGAAUGCUUCGCAAGAAGUUUGACUGUACCCGCUGAGGAAGCCACGGCUAACUCCGUCGCCAGCAGCCGG